This 240-nucleotide unclassified non-coding RNA is filed under the name soil metagenome. RNAcentral's name for it is "partial contains 5.8S ribosomal RNA, internal transcribed spacer 2, and large subunit ribosomal RNA". The record is from RNAcentral.
AACCUAGCACACCUGCGGUGUGUACCUGCGGAGGGAUCAUUACCGAGUUUACAAACUCCCAACCCUUUGUGAACCUUACCAUAUUGUUGCUUCGGCGGGACCGCCCCGGCGCCUUCGGGCCCGGAACCAGGCGCCCGCCGGAGGCCCCAAACUCUUAUGUCUUUAGUGGUUUUCUCCUCUGAGUGACACAUAAACAAAUAAAUAAAAACUUUUAACAAUGGAUCUCAGAUCGGAAGAGCA